CCUACGGGAGGCUGCAGUGGGGAAUAUUGGACAAUGGGGGCAACCCUGAUCCAGCCAUGCCGCGUGUGUGAAGAAGGCCCUCGGGUUGUAAAGCACUUUCAGUGAGGAAGAACGCCUGGUGGUUAAUACCCAUCAGGAAAGACAUCACUCACAGAAGAAGCACCGGCUAACUCCGUGCCAGCAGCCGCGGUAAUACGGAGGAUGCGAGCGUUAAUCGGAAUUACUGGGCGUAAAGCGCGCGUAGGUGGCUUGAUAAGCCGGUUGUGAAAGCCCCGGGCUCAACCUGGGAACGGCAUCCGGAACUGUCAAGCUAGAGUGCAGGAGAGGAAGGUAGAAUUCCCGGUGUAGCGGUGAAAUGCGUAGAGAUCGGGAGGAAUACCAGUGGCGAAGGCGGCCUUCUGGACUGACACUGACACUGAGGUGCGAAAGCGUGGGUAGCAAACAGGAUUAGAUACCCGAGUAGUC
RNAcentral lists this ribosomal RNA (465 nucleotides) under Vreelandella stevensii. RNAcentral's name for it is "partial 16S ribosomal RNA". It matches the Rfam family "Bacterial small subunit ribosomal RNA", at positions 338 to 795 of the family's 1533-position model. Lineage: Bacteria; Pseudomonadati; Pseudomonadota; Gammaproteobacteria; Oceanospirillales; Halomonadaceae. The record is from RNAcentral.